AGAGUUUGAUCAUGGCUCAGAUUGAACGCUGGCGGCAGGCUUAACACAUGCAAGUCGAGCGGGGAAAGGUAGCUUGCUACCUUACCUAGCGGCGGACGGGUGAGUAAUGCUUAGGAAUCUGCCUAUUAGUGGGGGACAACAUUUCGAAAGGAAUGCUAAUACCGCAUACGCCCUACGGGGGAAAGCAGGGGACCUUCGGGCCUUGCGCUAAUAGAUGAGCCUAAGUCGGAUUAGCUAGUUGGUGGGGUAAAGGCCUACCAAGGCGACGAUCUGUAGCGGGUCUGAGAGGAUGAUCCGCCACACUGGGACUGAGACACGGCCCAGACUCCUACGGGAGGCAGCAGUGGGGAAUAUUGGACAAUGGGGGGAACCCUGAUCCAGCCAUGCCGCGUGUGUGAAGAAGGCCUUUUGGUUGUAAAGCACUUUAAGCGAGGAGGAGGCUCCCAGUAUUAAUACUACUGGAGAGUGGACGUUACUCGCAGAAUAAGCACCGGCUAACUCUGUGCCAGCAGCCGCGGUAAUACAGAGGGUGCAAGCGUUAAUCGGAUUUACUGGGCGUAAAGCGUGCGUAGGUGGCCAAUUAAGUCAAAUGUGAAAUCCCCGAGCUUAACUUGGGAAUUGCAUUCGAUACUGGUUGGCUAGAGUAUGGGAGAGGAUGGUAGAAUUCC
This 668-nucleotide ribosomal RNA is filed under the name uncultured bacterium. RNAcentral describes it as "bacterial SSU rRNA". It matches the Rfam family "Bacterial small subunit ribosomal RNA", at positions 8 to 670 of the family's 1533-position model. The record is from RNAcentral.